This is a non-coding RNA of Schistosoma margrebowiei, 45 nucleotides long. The record is from Rfam. Lineage: Eukaryota; Metazoa; Platyhelminthes; Trematoda; Strigeidida; Schistosomatidae.
AUCUAGCUGACGAGUCCUAAAUAGGAUGAAACAUGGGUCAUAGAU